Molecule: ribosomal RNA, 247 nt
Filed under: uncultured Chlorophyceae
Lineage: Eukaryota; Viridiplantae; Chlorophyta; Chlorophyceae
Description: partial small subunit ribosomal RNA
Rfam family: Eukaryotic small subunit ribosomal RNA
Source: RNAcentral
AGCUCCAAUAGCGUAUAUUUAAGUUGUUGCAGUUAAAAAGCUCGUAGUUGGAUUUCGGGUGGGUGUCGCCGGUCUGCCUCUGGUAUGUACUGGCGCUGCUCACCUUUCUGCCGGGGACGGGCUCCUGGGCUUAACUGUCUGGGACUCGGAGUCGGCGUUGUUACUUUGAGUAAAUUAGAGUGUUCAAAGCAAGCCUUCGCUCUGAAUACAUUAGCAUGGAAUAACACGAUAGGACUCUGGCCUAUCU